GCGUCAUCUGGAUUUAUUGGGGUGUAAUAGGGAGGGGUAGACGGCAGCCGCCAGUCUGAUGUGAAAAUACCGGGGGCGCCCAACCCCCGCAAACUGCAUUUUGAUAAUAUGCCAGCCUUGAGUGCGGGAGGAGGGUAAGUGGGAAUUUCUUAGUGUAGCGGUGGAAAAUGAGUAGAUUAUUAUGGAGGAGCACCACUGGCGAAGGAGGGGGUAUUUGUACCGUAACUGACGUUGAGGCUCGAAAAGCGUGGGGAGCAAACAAGGAUUAGAUACCCUGGUAGUCCACGCCGUAAACGAUGAUUACUAGGUGUCGGGGGGACCAAGGUCCUCCGGUGCCGGCGCAAACGCAUUAAGUAAUCCACCUGGGGGAGUACGUUCGCAAGAAUGAAACUCAAAGGAAAUGACGGGGACCCGCACAAGCGGUGGAGCAUGUGGUUUAAUUUGAAGCAACGAGAAGAACCUUACCUGGUCUUGACAUCCGGACGCCGUAUGGGCAAAGCCAUAUUUCUUUCGGGACGUCCGAGACAGGUGGUGCAUGGUUGUUGUCAGCUCGUGUCGUGAGAUGUUGGGUUAAGUCCCGCAACGAGCGCAACCCCCGUUUCCAGUAGCCAGCAUAUAAAGAUGGGCACUCUGGAGAGACUGCCCGGGAUAACCGGGAGGAAGGCGGGGAGGACGUCAAAUCAUCAUGCCCCCUAUGAUCAGGGGUACACACGUGCUACAAUGGCGUAAACAAAGGGAAGCGAGACGGGGACGUUGAGCAAAUCCCAGAAAUAAAGUCCCAGUUCGGAUUGUAGUCUGCAACCCGACUACAUGAAGCUGGAAUCGCUAGUAAUCGCGAAUCAGAAUGUCGCGGUGAAUACGUUCCCGGGUCUUGUACUCACCGCCCGUCA
This 890-nucleotide ribosomal RNA is filed under the name uncultured bacterium. RNAcentral's name for it is "bacterial SSU rRNA". It matches the Rfam family "Bacterial small subunit ribosomal RNA", at positions 538 to 1399 of the family's 1533-position model. The record is from RNAcentral.